RNAcentral lists this ribosomal RNA (328 nucleotides) under uncultured eukaryote. RNAcentral describes it as "partial 18S ribosomal RNA". It matches the Rfam family "Eukaryotic small subunit ribosomal RNA", at positions 1470 to 1796 of the family's 1831-position model. The record is from RNAcentral.
CCCUUAGAUGUCCGGGGCUGCACGCGCGCUACACUGAAGGAAUCAGCGUGCUAAAACCAUUGUCGAAAGGCAUUGGUAAACCCAUUAAAAUCCUACGUGAUUGGGAUCGGGAAUUGCAAUUAUUUCCCUUGAACGAGGAAUUCCCAGUAAGUGUGGGUCAUAAGCUCGCGUUGAUUACGUCCCUGCCCUUUGUACACACCGCCCGUCGCUGCCCGGGACUGAGCCGUUUCGAGAAAAGCGGGGACUGCUGCUGUCGGGGCUUUCGGGCCUUGGCUUCGGUGGAAACCGCUUUAAUCGCAGCGGCUUGAACCGGGCAAAAGUCGUAACA